GUGGUGAGUGCCGCUGCCGUCUCGUGCAAGGAGUGUCGGCAGCAGCAGGCUCAGCGGGAAGCCAAACAUUAUUUCGGCAUCAUAGAGGAAUUUCGGCCUCACCUGGUCCCUGCGGCGCCUACCAGAACACAUAUAUAAGCUGCCGGAUGACGAGGACCAAGGAACACCACCACUACCACCACUACCGCCUAACGCAAUAUGGCUCGUCAAACACUG
Molecule: long non-coding RNA, 216 nt
Organism: Portunus trituberculatus (swimming crab)
Lineage: Eukaryota; Metazoa; Arthropoda; Malacostraca; Decapoda; Portunidae
Exons: 3
Source: RefSeq, a predicted model, not a curated record